UAUUGCACAAUGGGGGGAACCCUGAUGCAGCGACGCCGCGUGAGUGAAGAAGUAAUUCGUUAUGUAAAGCUCUAUCAGCAGGGAAGAAUAAAUGACGGUACCUGAGUAAGAAGCCCCGGCUAACUACGUGCCAGCAGCCGCGGUAAUACGUAGGGGGCAAGCGUUAUCCGGAUUUACUGGGUGUAAAGGGAGCGUAGACGGCAGUGCAAGUCUGGAGGGAAAGGCGGGGGCUCAACCCCCGGACUGCUCUGGAAACUGUACGGCUGGAGUGCAGGAGAGGUAAGUGGAAUUCCUAGUGUAGCGGUGAAAUGCGUAGAUAUUAGGAGGAACACCAGUGGCGAAGGCGGCUUACUGGACUGUAACUGACGUUGAGGCUCGAAAGCGUGGGGAGCAAACA
Molecule: ribosomal RNA, 397 nt
Filed under: uncultured bacterium
Lineage: Bacteria
Description: bacterial SSU rRNA
Rfam family: Bacterial small subunit ribosomal RNA
Source: RNAcentral